GCGUCAGUGGUGCAACGGUUAGCAUACGCUCCCUGAAAGACUGAGAUCUUUGUUCGAAUCCCGGCUGAUGCA
This is a non-coding RNA of Parelaphostrongylus tenuis, 72 nucleotides long. The record is from the annotation of a GenBank genome assembly. Lineage: Eukaryota; Metazoa; Nematoda; Chromadorea; Rhabditida; Metastrongylidae.